CAGGUAGGGUUAGGGUAGGUGUAGGGAGGGCUUUAUUGUCCCAAUAAGGUGGCAUCCAUUUAAUAAUUUGAAUUAAAAUGAAAAUGUACACUCAAUAAGUUAUUACUGCAUACUGUUUUAUGAUUUACAACAAUACUGAGAUGCAGAUAACUGUCAAUAAGUGGUAGCUAUAAAUAGCAGAAAAUCCUGCUAUUUUAACAUAGUGUAAAUAGAAUAGCUAUUUGCACUUAGAGUAAAAAGCCUCUAUCGCUGCUGCCUUUUAUUAUUAUUAUUAUUAUUUACACAUUAAUAAAAUUCAAAUUUGUCAUAUAAUUUCAGAAAAAAAAAAAAAAAAAAUUGACACCAACAUUUAACAUGUAUUUUUUACAGUGGUUAAGCCAGAGCAGAGUUAUUUAUGUGUGCUGGAAUCAGUUAUAGCAGGUGUUUGGAUCGUCUUCAUAGUCAUACCUAGCAUUUUAUAAGUGGUUUAAUCUAUUUCUGUGGGCUCUUCUUUAGUGUCACAUGAUGAAAUGGGCUGCCUGUGCUCUCUGGAAAUUGGGAACCAUUUGUGGCUGUCCUGCUGCAAGUUUGUGAAAAAUCGUCAGGCCUGAAGGAAUAUCAGAAUGACAUAUCACUCACGUGAACUAUAGGAUAAAUGUACAAAACUUUUAUUUAUUUAUUUAUUUUGUUCUUUAUAUAUAAAGGAAAUGUGUGUGUGUGGGGGUGAAGUACUAUUUUUAGCAACCUAUUUAUAAAAAUGAGUUGGUAUUGAGAAUGAAAUGAUGAAAUCAGUCUACAACACUAGUCCUAUCACACACACUGUGGCCAUGCUAAUUAAUUUAGAAUGAAAAUGAGAUAUAUCUGGAUAAAGCAUAGCAGACCUAAAAACCUACUUAAAUAGAGCAAUCACAAUCUUCAUUUAUUUUGCUCCUCAUUCUUUAAUUGAUUAUUUAAAGGACGGGAGAGGACUAUCCAGCUAAACCCUUGGGACAGGCAUGCAUCAGUCAAGCACAACAACAGUCAAGUUAACCCAUGAGCUUUAUACAUCAGUUUCACAGGUGGCUUUAUCUGAAGUCUUCACAAGUGUUGCGGUCAUCUGGAUUCUUCACAAAGGCUGGAUCUAAAUUUAAGCUGCUGCAAUCUAGGAAAUCAUGAGGUAGAAUCAAGAAGGUAAAAUAAUUAGCACUGUUGCUGUUUAUAGUAGGCCUA
Cyprinus carpio (common carp) is the source of this 1188-nucleotide long non-coding RNA. The record is from Ensembl. NCBI's taxonomy places the organism in Eukaryota, Metazoa, Chordata, Actinopteri, Cypriniformes, Cyprinidae.